GACGAACGCUGGCGGCGUGCUUAACACAUGCAAGUCGAACGGAAAGGCCCUGCUUUUGUGGGGUGCUCGAGUGGCGAACGGGUGAGUAACACGUGAGUAACCUGCCCUUGACUUUGGGAUAACUUCAGGAAACUGGGGCUAAUACAGGAUAGGAGCUCCUGCUGCAUGGUGGGGGUUGGAAAGUUUCGGCGGUUGGGGAUGGACUCGCGGCUUAUCAGCUUGUUGGUGGGGUAGUGGCUUACCAAGGCUUUGACCGGUCGCCGGCCUGAGAGGGUGACCGGCCACAAUGGGACUGAGGUACGGCCCAGACUCCUACGGGAGGCAGCAGUGGGGAAUAUGGCACAGUGGGCGGAAGUCUGAGGCAGCAACGCCGCGUGCGUGAUGACGGCCUUCGGGUUGUAAACCGCUUUCGCCUGUGACGAAGCGUGAGUGACGGUAAUGGGUAAAGAAGCACCGGCUAACUACGUG
RNAcentral lists this ribosomal RNA (468 nucleotides) under uncultured bacterium. Its description in RNAcentral is "partial 16S ribosomal RNA". It matches the Rfam family "Bacterial small subunit ribosomal RNA", at positions 28 to 507 of the family's 1533-position model. The record is from RNAcentral.